AAAAUCUCAGACUUGGACCUCUCUCAUUUAAGCCCACAAAGCCAUGAAAAUCAGGUUAUAAAAGAGGGAGAACAGACAGAAAAAGGAAGAGAAGCAAAACACUCUGAGGUUUCCUUGGAACAAAAUCCUGGACAAAACCUGGAGAGAAACCUAGACAGAGAGAGUGAGAAUUAAUCUGCAGCAACCUCCAGGCAACUCUGAAAGGUUCAUUCUGACUCACACACUUUC
This 228-nucleotide long non-coding RNA is filed under the name Lathyrus oleraceus (garden pea). RNAcentral describes it as "Pisum sativum (pea) long non-coding RNA (PSAT_LNC039004)". Lineage: Eukaryota; Viridiplantae; Streptophyta; Magnoliopsida; Fabales; Fabaceae. The record is from RNAcentral.